RNAcentral lists this ribosomal RNA (1372 nucleotides) under uncultured bacterium. Its description in RNAcentral is "bacterial SSU rRNA". It matches the Rfam family "Bacterial small subunit ribosomal RNA", at positions 28 to 1381 of the family's 1533-position model. The record is from RNAcentral.
GAUGAACGCUGGCGGCGUGCCUAAUACAUGCAAGUCGAGCGAACAGACGAGGAGCUUGCUCCUUUGACGUUAGCGGCGGACGGGUGAGUAACACGUGGGUAACCUACCUAUAAGACUGGGAUAACUUCGGGAAACCGGAGCUAAUACCGGAUAAUAUUUCGAACCGCAUGGUUCGAUAGUGAAAGAUGGCUUUGCUAUCACUUAUAGAUGGACCUGCGCCGUAUUAGCUAGUUGGUAAGGUAACGGCUUACCAAGGCAACGAUACGUAGCCGACCUGAGAGGGUGAUCGGCCACACUGGAACUGAGACACGGUCCAGACUCCUACGGGAGGCAGCAGUAGGGAAUCUUCCGCAAUGGGCGAAAGCCUGACGGAGCAACGCCGCGUGAGUGAUGAAGGUCUUCGGAUCGUAAAACUCUGUUAUUAGGGAAGAACAAACGUGUAAGUAACUGUGCACGUCUUGACGGUACCUAAUCAGAAAGCCACGGCUAACUACGUGCCAGCAGCCGCGGUAAUACGUAGGUGGCAAGCGUUAUCCGGAAUUAUUGGGCGUAAAGCGCGCGUAGGCGGUUUUUUAAGUCUGAUGUGAAAGCCCACGGCUCAACCGUGGAGGGUCAUUGGAAACUGGAAAACUUGAGUGCAGAAGAGGAAAGUGGAAUUCCAUGUGUAGCGGUGAAAUGCGCAGAGAUAUGGAGGAACACCAGUGGCGAAGGCGACUUUCUGGUCUGUAACUGACGCUGAUGUGCGAAAGCGUGGGGAUCAAACAGGAUUAGAUACCCUGGUAGUCCACGCCGUAAACGAUGAGUGCUAAGUGUUAGGGGGUUUCCGCCCCUUAGUGCUGCAGCUAACGCAUUAAGCACUCCGCCUGGGGAGUACGACCGCAAGGUUGAAACUCAAAGGAAUUGACGGGGACCCGCACAAGCGGUGGAGCAUGUGGUUUAAUUCGAAGCAACGCGAAGAACCUUACCAAAUCUUGACAUCCUUUGACCCUUCUAGAGAUAGAAGUUUCCCCUUCGGGGGACAAAGUGACAGGUGGUGCAUGGUUGUCGUCAGCUCGUGUCGUGAGAUGUUGGGUUAAGUCCCGCAACGAGCGCAACCCUUAAGCUUAGUUGCCAUCAUUAAGUUGGGCACUCUAAGUUGACUGCCGGUGACAAACCGGAGGAAGGUGGGGAUGACGUCAAAUCAUCAUGCCCCUUAUGAUUUGGGCUUCACACGUGCUACAAUGGACAAUACAAAGGGCAGCGAAACCGCGAGGUCAAGCAAAUCCCAUAAAGUUGUUCUCAGUUCGGAUUGUAGUCUGCAACUCGACUACAUGAAGCUGGAAUCGCUAGUAAUCGUAGAUCAGCAUGCUACGGUGAAUACGUUCCCGGGUCU